CCUACGGGGGACAGCAGUGGGGGAUAUUGCACAAUGGGGGGAACCCUGAUGCAGCGACGCCGCGUGGGUGAAGGAGCGUUUCGGAGCGUAAAGCCCUUUUGGCAGGGAAGAAGAUGACGGUACCUGACCAAGAAGCACCGGCUAACUACGUGCCAGCAGCCGCGGUAAUACGGAGGGGGCAAGCGUUAUACGGAUUCACUGGGCGGAAAGAGGGCGUAGACGGCAUUGCAAGUCAGGAGUGAAAGCCCGGGGCCCAACCACGGUACUGCACUUGAAACUGCAUGGCUAGAGUACGGGAGGGGCAGGUGGAAUUCCUGGUGUAGCGGUGAAAUGCGUAGAGAUUAGGAGGAACACCGGUGGCGAAGGCGGCCUGCUGGACUGUAACUGACGUUGAUGCCCGAAGGCGUGGGGAGCAAACAGGAUUAGAUACCCUAGUAGUC
This 440-nucleotide ribosomal RNA is filed under the name uncultured bacterium. RNAcentral describes it as "partial 16S ribosomal RNA". It matches the Rfam family "Bacterial small subunit ribosomal RNA", at positions 338 to 795 of the family's 1533-position model. The record is from RNAcentral.